Cercocebus atys (sooty mangabey) is the source of this 4017-nucleotide long non-coding RNA. RefSeq lists it as uncharacterized. The transcript is spliced from 2 exons. NCBI's taxonomy places the organism in Eukaryota, Metazoa, Chordata, Mammalia, Primates, Cercopithecidae. The record is from RefSeq and is a predicted model, not a curated record.
UCCCUCUCACUCUGAGUCGCACGCACCCCGUCCCCUUCCUGCCCGCAAAACUACUCUUCAAAGACUUCCUUCCGGGCACCGCGAAGCCGGCGUGCUCAGCAUUCGGAGAGGCAGCGGCGUUCACCUUCAUCCAGGACAACAAAACUGCCAUUUCCGAAGAGAAAGGAAACGGCUCGCGGCUUCUGGGGUUCCCAGGCGCGGGCCUGCGAGGGAGGCCGGGAGCCGAGUGGCCACGCCCAGAACCCCGAGCCCGCCCCCGCGCCAGCCAGCCCGGCCCCGCACGCGACGCCCCCUCCAGGUCCCGCUCCUACGCCCUAUUUGGUCAUUCGGGGGGCAAGUGGCGGGAGGGGGAGACGUGAGCGGCCGAAGGGGAAGCGGAGCCGGCGCCGGCUGCACAGAGGAGCCGCUCUCGCCGCCGCCACCUCGGCUGGGAACCCACGAGGCCGCCGCAUCCUGCCCUUGGAACAAUGGGGCUCGGCGCGCGAGGUGCCUGGGCCGCGCUGUUCCUGGGAACGCUGCAGGUGCUAGCGCUGCUGGGGGCCGCCCAUGAAAGCGCACCCAUGGCGGCAUCUGCAAACAUAGAGAAUUCUGGGCCUCCACACAACUCCAGUGCUAACUCAACAGGUGAGUUUUAAAAGAUUAAAAAAACAAAUUUUCAUUUGUCUAGGGUACAUGAAGUAAUAACAGCCAGGGAAGUAGGCGUAAGCUGAUUCACUGACCUGUUUUAACCCUGAGUUCUUCACCCAUGAAUCGCUAUGACCUGCCCUAGUGCCCUAUAGUAGACAUCAGUAAGUGAUAGUUCGCUGGAUUAGUCUUUCUCAGUCUUGUAAAGAUGUGAAUAAACUCUAAAACAAAAAGCGUAUCAGAAUUUCAUGUUACAAAUUUUUGAAGCACAUUUUUAGAUGUGGGGGUUUUGUAGUUUGCCUGUAGAUAUGAAAUGUCGGUACAGAAGUCUGCAGGUCUUGCUGAUGAAACAAAUCACUCUAAACUAGUCAGCCGUGGCAGCCUUAAUAUACCUCUGCUGACUCUAAGGAGACCCUACUUACAUUUCACCCAUUAGGCAGACUCAACCCAAACACUUGGUGAGGCCCUUACCCUGUGAUUUUAGUUUCGGACAAAGCCUUGGGCCUCUGAGUUCACUAGCAUGGAAAGAUACAAGAACCAGGCUGAUGUCAUCAAUAUCAGUAGUAAAUCAUCAAGGUGUGUUUCUUGUAAACAAUUUUUAAGUUAUCUUCUCACUGCCCUUAAUCUUCACAGUUGACUGAGUUGGAAACUAGAAAAAGGUAUGCCAAUCCUGUCGCUAACUUGUUUACUUUUAUUCAGAGAAUAUUGACUCUAAUGAGCUAGUACAUUCUAGGUUCUAAGAAUACAAAAUGGACCAAGCCUUAACUUCUAGGGGUUUUUGCUUUUUGUUUUUUAUUUAUUGGCAAAAUAUACAUGACAUAAAAUGUAUAACCAUUUUUUUCAGUGUAAAGCUCAGUGGCGCUAAGUACAUUCAUGCUGCUUUGCAACUUGCUGGAGUUUUUAUUUCUGUGCAGCAUCCCAGUGUUUCACUUAGUUUAUGUUCUUGGUUUAUUGCUGUUCUUUCUUUCAUUAUCUCUGCCUUUUCAACUGGUGUCUGGUGGUACAUACUCAGGACAUACUUUUAUUCUAGUUUUAGUAAUUCUACAGGAAACAUUUUCAUUGAGAGGAAAGAAGUCUAGAUGGAUUACUCCAAAAUGUAGUAGUGGUUAUCAUUGGGUAGUUGUGAGAGGGUCUUAGUUAUUAAAAAAAAUUUGAUUAUACUAUUAGGUACCUUUUCCUUUUGUCCUUUAUUGAAUCUAAUUCUGCACUAAACUUUUAACCUCGGGUAAACAAAGGAGGUAGAAGAAACAUAAAGACAGUAGUAUUAGCAAUAGACACCAUUUAUUGAAUGCAUACAACUUACAAGAUACUCCUCAUACAUUUACUAAUCUAACCACGGUGAGGGGGGUGUCCUUUCUGGUUUACACAUGGGGAAAUUGAAACUCAAGAGUGGUUAGGAAAUGCCCAAGAUCACGUGACACUAAGUGUCACAUUCAGGAUUUGAAACCUAGUUGUAUUCUAAAACCUAUGUCUCUUUAUCACACUGUCUGAAAUGGGUUAUGGCCUUACUUUUAAAAAGUGCUUUUCACUGUGAAUGAUUAUUAAAAAUCAACUCAGUACUUUGAGGGCAGCUCCAGAGUCAGUGGGAUGAUUUCAAAUGCCCCUUCUAGCACAGGGAAAUUUUUUGAGAAGAAAAGCAUUGCCUCAAAUUUUUCUAGAAGGAGAACAGGUAAUACAACUAUUCAAAAUGUUUUUGCACAAUGUGUUAUACUUCUCCUAACUGUUGCAUUCCUCUUUGUAUCUUGAAAACACUUUUGAAACAUGUUAAGUUUGUGUAUUUUUACGGGAUGGAUGCUUAACUGUGUUUAGUUACCUAGACCAUUGUUGAAGCUUUGUUUCUUUGAACAUACUGUUUACCAAUUUAUUUGGUGCUAUUUAUUUAGUGCACUUUCUGUGGCACCAUAUUUCCUCUCACUAGGAAAAUAGCAUGUUUGGCAAAUUCCAUUAUGAUGUGUAUUCCAGGAAUGUACUGUCGGAAAAAGCGGAGACUGCCUGCAGUACUACUUAGAAUGUUGGGUGUCUAUCACUUUUAUAGGACUCACCACGUUGGAGUUUCAGAGAAUCUUUUUUUCUCUUGUUUUGGUCUCCAUCUAAGUUCCUUGAGAGUGAAAUCUAUGAUUUAUUCGUUCUGACAUCUCACUCUAUGCCUGGUGCAUAGUAGGUAUGCAGAAUAUGUAUGUUUUUGGUUGGUUGAACUCAAUUGUGGAACGAAAUACAUAUUUUGUAAUUGCUGACUUGCCUUGUCAAAACACUAUUAUAUACAUUUUGCAGAUAUGUACUGGUUUGUGCUCCAGUCCUACCCAUUAUUACAGCUGUUCUCUGUUUAUACAGUAACAUAGGUACUUAAAGUCAAACAACAGGAAUGGAGGUUGCUUUCCAGUGUACCACUCAGUUACAUAUAACAGUUCUUUUAUGUCCCCAAUCAUUAUUUGAAGACAGCUAUACUUUUGACAUUCUUGUCUGCAGGAACUUGUUUGACACACUUUCAUCUUACAGAGAAAAUAAUUUCCGCUUAUUUCAUUUGUAGUCAGAGUAUUUAUAUUUUAGAUUCUGUGGAUGGAUGAAUUUACACUUUAUAGUACAAGGAAGACACAUGCCCAGAUUAUUUUUCAUAAUGGGUUUGGGCAAGGAUGUAAGGAAAUGUGGCAUGGUCUAGAUGGGAGUGCAGAUAUCAUCAGUAACUAGAACAGCAGCUCAGUAUCAUUCAGGAUACAGCUGUCUCCUUGAUCACCUAGCAUUGAUGCUUCCCAACGAAGAGGGAUCUGAGAGGAUUGGGUUACCAUCAUCCAAUCUGAAGCUCUUUGCUUGGACAUAACUUGCACCAACUCCUUUCCAAAGCCGUUUCUCUCUUAAUCAUGUAUGUUCCAUCUAUUAUGAUUGCUAUUGGUUUGGUUACUCAUCCUUGGCAGAGUCAUUUGGGCCACUCUAGUGGGGUUAGUUUUUUCCAUAGACAUAGCAGGGAUGGGUAGUUGUGAGAGGGUCUUAUUUUGAAAAUAUUUUAUUACACUAUUAGGUACCUUUUCCUUUUAUCCUUUGUUGAAUCUAAUUCUGCACUACUGAACUUGUAACCACAAUUUUGAGCAUUUGGACCUGUCUUGCAUUUAGAUUUCUACAGAAGAAAGCAGUAGAAAUUUGGGAACAGCUUAUUCUGUAUUCCAAUUUUUACCCCUAAUUGCAACAAUGAAAGUCCUACUGAAGUGGAAAGAAUUUAUCAGAUAUAUAAUCCCGUAUGUCACACUACCUUCUUCUAUUUAUUUUAGAUAAAAUGUUUUAUGUGUGAAGAGAAUAUUAGAUGGAAACUUUCUGUGAGUUUGUAAGUCAAUCAAAGAUAGGAACCAGUUGGCCUGAUGGUGAUACCGAUGAUUGAUUGAUUGAUUGAUAAAAAUGGUGAUA